Long non-coding RNA from Canis lupus familiaris (dog), 704 nucleotides. RefSeq lists it as uncharacterized. The transcript is spliced from 4 exons. Lineage: Eukaryota; Metazoa; Chordata; Mammalia; Carnivora; Canidae. The record is from RefSeq and is a predicted model, not a curated record.
GCGCCAAGGGCAAUGAUUGGAGAGGCUGUGGCGUCCCUCCUGACGAGAAGCACAAGGGUGGGGACGGCUCACAAAGCUCGACGCCCAGGCCCUCGAGUACGGGGAGCGGACGAGGAGGGGGUGUUGGUGUCCCAAGCCGAGUUGAAACUGGAAGUUGACUUCUUCACCGUGGAUAUAAGAACUAGGUACCUGAGGAGACAGGACUUGAAGAACACUCACUAAGUGCAGAUGGCCAGGUGGCAGUGACUAUCAUGCAUGGUCAGGCUGCUGGAGGAGACGAGUGAGAAGAUGCUUGAGCCACUUUGGCUCUUGGCACUUGGAAUUCAAGAUGGAUCAGGUACCUGUCCUGUGGAGCCUAUGUUCUGGCAGAGAAGACAUAUCAUAAUCUAAUUUAAAAAUUAGGAAACAAGAUAACUUCAGAGAAUGACAAGUUCUGGGGAGAAAAUAAAACAGUGGCGAUAUGAUUGCAAUCAGGGACUGGCUCCAGGAGACUUGAGUCUAGCUCUUUCUGAUUCAUCACCCACACUCCAGGAAGCUAGCUGUCAGUCAGCCAAAGAAUUGAGCAUCUUGCCCUGGGAGAGCUGGGUUCUCCUCCCUGUGGCUCCCAGGAGGUACUGCAAGGUGCCCUCCCUACACAGUUGAAAUCCAAUAUGAGGACAGACACACCGUGGAGAUAUUGCAGAUUGAGUUCCAGACCACCACAA